UACAGAGGGUGCAAGCGUUGUUCGGAAUUAUUGGGCGUAAAGGGCGCGUAGGCGGUGCGGUAAGUCUGCGGUGAAAUCUCCCGGCUCAACUGGGAGGCUGCCGUGGAAACUGCCGUGCUUGAGUGUGGGAGAGGUGAGUGGAAUUCCCGGUGUAGCGGUGAAAUGCGUAGAUAUCGAGAGGAACACCUGAGGUGAAGACGGGUUGCUGGGCCGACACUGACGCUGACAGCGCGAAAGCCAGGGGAGCAAACGGG
RNAcentral lists this ribosomal RNA (254 nucleotides) under uncultured bacterium. RNAcentral's name for it is "partial 16S ribosomal RNA". It matches the Rfam family "Bacterial small subunit ribosomal RNA", at positions 524 to 776 of the family's 1533-position model. The record is from RNAcentral.